RNAcentral lists this ribosomal RNA (573 nucleotides) under uncultured bacterium. RNAcentral describes it as "partial 16S ribosomal RNA". It matches the Rfam family "Bacterial small subunit ribosomal RNA", at positions 355 to 920 of the family's 1533-position model. The record is from RNAcentral.
UGGGGAAUUUUGGACAAUGGGCGCAAGCCUGAUCCAGCCAUGCCGCGUGCGGGAAGAAGGCCUUCGGGUUGUAAACCGCUUUUGUCAGGGAAGAAAUCUUCUGAGUUAAUACCUCGGGAGGAUGACGGUACCUGAAGAAUAAGCACCGGCUAACUACGUGCCAGCAGCCGCGGUAAUACGUAGGGUGCAAGCGUUAAUCGGAAUUACUGGGCGUAAAGCGUGCGCAGGCGGUUUUGUAAGACAGAGGUGAAAUCCCCGGGCUCAACCUGGGAACUGCCUUUGUGACUGCAAGGCUUGAGUGCGGCAGAGGGGGAUGGAAUUCCGCGUGUAGCAGUGAAAUGCGUAGAUAUGCGGAGGAACACCGAUGGCGAAGGCAAUCCCCUGGGCCUGCACUGACGCUCAUGCACGAAAGCGUGGGGAGCAAACAGGAUUAGAUACCCCUGGUAGUCCACGCCCUAAACGAUGUCAACUGGUUGUUGGGAAGGUUCCUUCUCAGUAACGUAGCUAACGCGUGAAGUUGACCGCCUGGGGAGUACGGCCGCAAGGUUGAAACUUAAAUGAAUUGACGGGGUC